GGUUUGCACAGAACCUUUACCGAAAGAUUGCGUACCAAGUAUUGUUGCCCGACGAUGAUCUUGCAAAGCACCUGCAACAAUUUCAGAAGCACUAGCAGAACCACCAUUGAUUAAAACAAUAAGCGGUUUGCCAUUUGUAAUAUCACCUGGUUUAGCAUCAAACCGCAUAACUUCCGAUUGGUCGCGUCCACGUGUUGAAACAAUCUCGCCCUUAUCCAAGAAGGCAUCAGACACAUUAACCGCCUGAUCAAGCAAACCACCCGGAUUGAGACGUAA
Molecule: non-coding RNA, 276 nt
Filed under: uncultured Bartonella sp.
Lineage: Bacteria; Pseudomonadati; Pseudomonadota; Alphaproteobacteria; Hyphomicrobiales; Bartonellaceae
Description: Rickettsia sRNA47
Rfam family: Rickettsia sRNA47 (bases 2-120)
Source: RNAcentral